This 1181-nucleotide ribosomal RNA is filed under the name Pristimantis petrobardus (Huambos robber frog). RNAcentral's name for it is "partial 16S ribosomal RNA". It matches the Rfam family "Bacterial large subunit ribosomal RNA", at positions 927 to 2925 of the family's 2925-position model. The record is from RNAcentral. Lineage: Eukaryota; Metazoa; Chordata; Amphibia; Anura; Strabomantidae.
AUUUUAGCCCAACCUAAAGUAAUCUAUUUAUAAUAAGAUACCCCCGCCAACUUUAGAGCAAUUCAAAUGAGGUACAGCCCAUUUGACAUAGGAUACAACCUUUACUAACGGGUAAUACUCAGCACUUGUUUUCAAGUUGGCCUAAGAGCAGCCACCUUAUAAAAAGCGUCAAAGCUUAAUUACAUUGCACACUAAUCUAAUAAUUACCACAGACCCCUUUUGUAUUAUCGAGAACUUCUAUAAUAUUAUAGACCCUUUAAUGCUAAAACUAGUAACAAGAGUAAACCUCCUCUCUUUAAUGUAAGCAUAAGCCAGUAAGAACCCAUCACCGGCAACUAACAGACUGCAAAGUAACAACUUAUCUAGAAAACCUUACUCCAUAAACUGUUAACCUAACACCAGAACAUUUCAAGAAAGAUUAAAAGAAAAAGAAGGAACUCGGCAAAUACUAGUCCCGCCUGUUUACCAAAAACAUCGCCUCUUGCUAAAUCAUAAGAGGUCCAGCCUGCCCAGUGACUCUGUUUAACGGCCGCGGUAUCCUAACCGUGCAAAGGUAGCGUAAUCACUUGUUUUUUAAAUAAAGACUUGUAUGAAAGGCAUCACGAAGACUAACCUGUCUCCUUUUUCUAAUCAGUGAACCUAAUCUCUCCGUGAAGAAGCGGGGAUUUAACCAUAAGACGAGAAGACCCUAUGGAGCUUAAAACAUCAUUACACAUGCCCCCACAACCUUAGGCACUCUGAUAAUAUGUUUUUGGUUGGGGUGACCGCGGAGAAAAACCCAUCCUCCACAAUGAAAGGGGCCUUCCCCUAAACAACAAGUCACAGCUUUAUGUAUCAACAAAUUGACAUCCAUUGACCCAAUAUUUGAUUAACGAACCAAGUUACCCUAGGGAUAACAGCGCAAUCCACUUUGAGAGCUCCUAUCGACAAGUGGGCUUACGACCUCGAUGUUGGAUCGGGGUAUCCUAGUGGUGCAGCCGCUACUAAAGGUUCGUUUGUUCAACGAUUAAAACCCCACGUGAUCUGAGUUCAGACCGGAGUAAUCCAGGUCAGUUUCUAUCUAUGAAAAGCUAUUUUUAGUACGAAAGGACCAAAAUAGCAUGGCCAAUGAUUAAACAAGCCGUACUUAAUUAUUUUCUCAAAAAAUUAUUAAUUUUCCACCAUAAAUCAAGAAAAGAACA